GGGGACGUAGCUCAGCUGGGAGAGCACCGCCCUUGCAAGGCGGGGGUCGUGAGUUCGAAUCUCAUCGUCUCCA
RNAcentral lists this transfer RNA (73 nucleotides) under Planctomycetales bacterium 4572_13. RNAcentral describes it as "tRNA-Ala". It matches the Rfam family "tRNA". Rfam says of the family: Transfer RNA (tRNA) molecules are approximately 80 nucleotides in length. Their secondary structure includes four short double-helical elements and three loops (D, anti-codon, and T loops). Lineage: Bacteria; Pseudomonadati; Planctomycetota; Planctomycetia; Planctomycetales. The record is from RNAcentral. RNAcentral also lists the same sequence under 5 other names.